This 1450-nucleotide ribosomal RNA is filed under the name Meretrix lyrata. RNAcentral describes it as "16S ribosomal RNA". Lineage: Eukaryota; Metazoa; Mollusca; Bivalvia; Venerida; Veneridae. The record is from RNAcentral.
UGUUUUAUGUAGGAUGUCUUAGAGGAUAAUUAUUAUUAUAGUAGGAGAAUUUACUUUGUUUUUUGUAUUGUUAAAGAAAGAGAAAUUUUGUGUUCUAAAGAAAAUUUAAGUUUUGAAAUAGAAAUUAUUAGUGUAUGUACUUUUUGGAGAAUGGUUUAUAGAGAUUAUAUAUUGAUAUAUUUUCUUGAAAAUCUAAGAGCUAUUGUUUUUUAUGUUUUUGUUGCAUAAAAGUUGUUAAAGGGAAUAAUAGAGGUGACAUGUUUAGCGAAUAGGUUGAUAGCUAGUUUAAGGAGAAACAUAUUUUGUAUGGAGUAAGUUUUUUAUUUUUUAAGUUAAAAUAAAUAGUAAGGCUUAUAUUCAGACCUUUAAGGCUUAGCUUUGAGGUAUAUUAAUUGGUUGGUUGAAAAAUAAAGUAGGGUUUAUAUUGCCUAUCUUUAAAACUUUUUUAUAAAGUGAGUUGUAAUAAAAGUAACAUUUUGUAGUAUCUUUAUAAGUGUAAAAAUUUUUUGGGUUGAGAUUAGUAUAAAAUGAGUAAUUUUGUUUUAAUGUAUUAAAAAUUUAAAAAUAUUUUUUAUAUGUUAAUGUUACAUGCUUGUUUUAUGUAAAAAUGAGGUGAGUGUGAAAGAAUUAUAUUUACUUUUAGUUUUAGUUUUUUGAAUUAAAAUUGUAAUUUAUGCUGAAAGAACUCGGCAAAUUUUCUCUGUGCCUGUUUAUUAAACACAUGGCUUUCUGAUUUGAAGAUAUAGAAGGUCUCACCUGCUCGAUGACGUUUUGUUAAAUGGCCGCUUUUUGUGCUAAGGUAGCGCGGUGAGUAGCUCCUUAAUUGGGAGAUAGGAUGAAUGGUUGGACGUGGAGAGGCUGUUUCCAGCGUAGUAAACUAGAAAUUUUUUUUUAAGUGAAAAAGCUUAAAUUUUUGUAAAAGACGAUAAGACCCUGUCGAACUUAAUUAGGUUUAAAAUAUUAAAUAGUGGUAGUUGUUUUAGUUAGUUAUUCUUUGUUUUAGGGUGUAAAAUUAUUUUUAUGUAGUUAAAUUUUUAUUUAUUAAGUUUGUUUACACUUUAAGGUUAGUUUACUUAAAUUAAGUUAUUUAAAUAAUAUAUUAUUUCUGAAUCUUUGUUGGGGCAACAGAUGUUUAUUAAACAACAUUUUUUUAUUAUAAAGACCCUAUAUGAUAGACUAGAGCAAAAGUUACCGCAGGGAUAACAGCGUAAUUUUUUUUUGUAAAUUUUAUUGGAAAAAAAGUUUACGACCUCGAUGUUGAAUUAAGAAAACUUUAUGGCUUAGGCGCUAUAAUGAGUAAAACUGUUCGUUUUUUAAUUUCUUACAUGAUUUGAGUUAAGAUCGGCGUGAGCUAGAUUGGUUUCUAUCUUUAAUUAUAGUUUCUAUUGUACGAAAGGAUCCAGAAACAGUGUUUUACACAAAUUGAAAGCUACAAAAAUUAGAUUUGGCU